Anolis carolinensis (green anole) is the source of this 85-nucleotide transfer RNA. It matches the Rfam family "tRNA". From Rfam's summary of the family: Transfer RNA (tRNA) molecules are approximately 80 nucleotides in length. The record is from Rfam. NCBI's taxonomy places the organism in Eukaryota, Metazoa, Chordata, Lepidosauria, Squamata, Anolidae.
GGCUCCGUGGCGCAAUGGAUAGCGCAUUGGACUUCUAGAGGGUGAAGAGAUUCAAAGGUUCCGGGUUCGAGUCCCGGCGGAGUCG